CCUACGGGAGGCAGCAGUAGGGAAUCUUCCACGAAUGGACGAAAGUCUGAUGGAGCAAUGCCGCGUGAGCGAAGAAGGUUUUCGGAUCGUAAAGCUUCUGUUGUAAGGGAAGAACAAGUACGGGAGUAAACUGCCCGUACCAUGACGGUACCUAUAGAAG
RNAcentral lists this ribosomal RNA (160 nucleotides) under bacterium SM4.400-O.31. RNAcentral's name for it is "partial 16S ribosomal RNA". It matches the Rfam family "Bacterial small subunit ribosomal RNA", at positions 338 to 487 of the family's 1533-position model. The record is from RNAcentral.